Molecule: ribosomal RNA, 709 nt
Filed under: uncultured bacterium
Lineage: Bacteria
Description: bacterial SSU rRNA
Rfam family: Bacterial small subunit ribosomal RNA
Source: RNAcentral
GCCUAACACAUGCAAGUCGAACGAAGUCUUCGGACUUAGUGGCGGACGGGUGAGUAACACGUGGGAACGUGCCUUUAGGUUCGGAAUAACUCAGGGAAACUUGUGCUAAUACCGAAUGUGCCCUUCGGGGGAAAGAUUUAUCGCCUUUAGAGCGGCCCGCGUCUGAUUAGCUAGUUGGUGAGGUAAAGGCUCACCAAGGCGACGAUCAGUAGCUGGUCUGAGAGGAUGAUCAGCCACAUUGGGACUGAGACACGGCCCAAACUCCUACGGGAGGCAGCAGUGGGGAAUCUUGCGCAAUGGGCGAAAGCCUGACGCAGCCAUGCCGCGUGAAUGAUGAAGGUCUUAGGAUUGUAAAAUUCUUUCACCGGGGACGAUAAUGACGGUACCCGGAGAAGAAGCCCCGGCUAACUUCGUGCCAGCAGCCGCGGUAAUACGAAGGGGGCUAGCGUUGCUCGGAAUUACUGGGCGUAAAGGGAGCGUAGGCGGACAUUUAAGUCAGGGGUGAAAUCCCGGGGCUCAACCUCGGAAUUGCCUUUGAUACUGGGUGUCUUGAGUGUGAGAGAGGUAUGUGGAACUCCGAGUGUAGAGGUGAAAUUCGUAGAUAUUCGGAAGAACACCAGUGGCGAAGGCGACAUACUGGCUCAUUACUGACGCUGAGGCUCGAAAGCGUGGGGAGCAAACAGGAUUAGAUACCCUGGUAGUCCACGCC